GCCUUUUUUUUCUCUCUCUCACUUUUUAAAUUUUUUUUAUUUUUUUGAGUCUCAAUCGUGUGGACAUCACUGGGAAUGGAGGGAAAUAACUGACUGAAUGGUCGUUGCUUUUAAGUUUCAAACCGACAUUCCAGGCGGGUUGUGUCUGAGCCAGCCUCGGGCUUUCAGACCUUCACAGCCUGGUCCUGAGAAGGUAGAGCUCUCAGCUUCUCCCUGAAUAACUGGGAGAUGAAACAGGAAACUUUAUGACACACUUGCUUGAAAAUGACACAGGACUCAGCCCCUCUGCAUCACCUCUACCUGCUGCCCACAGCCGAGUGCGGGGGAAGGGCUGGCCCUGGGACCUGAUUCCAACCGCCGUGGACUCGACGUUCAGUGUGAUGUGUCUGCCAUACUGUGGUCAUGGGCUAGUCUGGUCGGUUUCCUAUGUAGCUGGCCACUCUCGGUGUAUCUUUGCCCCUUUUCCUUCAUUAAAAGCAUAACUAAAGAAAAA
Molecule: long non-coding RNA, 493 nt
Organism: Bubalus bubalis (water buffalo)
Lineage: Eukaryota; Metazoa; Chordata; Mammalia; Artiodactyla; Bovidae
Exons: 2
Source: RefSeq, a predicted model, not a curated record